This 945-nucleotide long non-coding RNA is filed under the name Homo sapiens (human). Its description in RNAcentral is "HSALNT0405406". Lineage: Eukaryota; Metazoa; Chordata; Mammalia; Primates; Hominidae. The record is from RNAcentral.
UACUGGAAUCACACUGUCUCCUGUCAGCUUUCUCUCCCUCCCCCGGCCCUCCUGCUGAUGAGAGACAGGAGCGAUGGAUGGUCUGAGUUAGCGGGGUCCCGGCACCACCCAGCGCAAAGGCACUGCACUCACGCACGCCAUGCACAUGCUGGCUCACCUCCUCCAUCCCAUGCCUCCCCUGUCUCCAGCAUUCCCUCUGGAAUACAUCAGCACUGUUGCCUUUGAGGCUGGCCUGCUUGAAUGCACACCUGAGCUCCGGAUUCACAGUGGAGGAAGCCAGAUGCCAUGUCAUGAGGGUGCUCAAGCAACUUUUUGGAGAUGUAUGUAUGGAGAGAAACUGAGGCCUCCUGCCAACAGCCAGCACUAACUUGGCAAGCAUGUUUGAGAGCCACCUGGGAAGUGGAGCCUUCAGCCCCAGUUAAGCCUUCAGAUGAGACUGCAGUCCUGGCCACCAUCUGGACUGCAACUUCACAAGAGCUCCUAAGCCAGAGCCAUGCAGAUGGAUUCUUGGCCCCCAGAAAUUGUGCCACUACAUUUUGGGAAAUUUAUUAUGCAGCCAUAGAUUACCAAUACACUCACUAUUUCUUUUUUCUGAUGCCAUACUAUAUUUUUGUUUGCUGAUUUUUUUCCUCCGUCUCUCCCACUAGGCAUUAAGUUCCAUAAGGGCAGUGACUGUGUCUGCGUGGUUCAUCCAUGUGUCCCCACAGCCUGGCAUAUGGAGCUCACUAAUAACUCAGGCAUGGGUAAAUGGAGAUCACUCAUUUUAGGCUCAGCCUAAUAAAUCUCCCUCCUAUGGCUCUCUCUAGAGAGAGCAGUAAAAUUUGCCCAACUUCUUUUUCUGUCUUUCUGUAUUUGAUUUCUUACACUUUCUGUGGCUUUCUGCUUAGUUUUAUUCCUGGCUGCCUGACAGAGGGUGGGUUUAUGCAGAUAAAGAGGCACCUGUGG